RNAcentral lists this transfer RNA (75 nucleotides) under Nostoc linckia z1. Its description in RNAcentral is "tRNA-Asn". It matches the Rfam family "tRNA". From Rfam's summary of the family: Transfer RNA (tRNA) molecules are approximately 80 nucleotides in length. The record is from RNAcentral. RNAcentral also lists the same sequence under 12 other names. Lineage: Bacteria; Bacillati; Cyanobacteriota; Cyanophyceae; Nostocales; Nostocaceae.
UGCCUCAUAGCUCAAUGGCAGAGCAAGCGGCUGUUAACCGCGCAGCUGUAGGUUCGAGUCCUACUGAGGCAGCCA